This 301-nucleotide ribosomal RNA is filed under the name Macrocheles sp. AL5995. RNAcentral's name for it is "eukaryotic LSU rRNA". It matches the Rfam family "Eukaryotic large subunit ribosomal RNA", at positions 656 to 953 of the family's 3401-position model. The record is from RNAcentral. Lineage: Eukaryota; Metazoa; Arthropoda; Arachnida; Mesostigmata; Macrochelidae.
GAAACACGGACCAAGGAGUUCAAAUGGCACGCAAGUCGUUGGGUUUUACACCCGAAGGCGAAGUGAAAUGCAAACGUAUUGUUAUUUGUGGUUGUUCCAUGAUUAAGCGAUAAGCUACUUGUGCUUUCUGGCACUUGUAGACUAAAAGCGUGAUGUUUGAGACCCGAAAGAUGGUGACCUAUGCCUAGUCAAGAUGAAGCCAGAGGAAACUCUGGUGGAUGUCUGAAGUUAUUCUGACGUGCAAAUCGAUAAUCUGAUCUGGGUAUAGGGGCGAAAGACUAAUCGAACCAUCUAGUAGCUG